Molecule: microRNA precursor, 82 nt
Filed under: Capitella teleta
Lineage: Eukaryota; Metazoa; Annelida; Polychaeta; Capitellidae
Description: microRNA cte-mir-1991 precursor
Source: miRBase by way of RNAcentral
CCAUCAAUUCUUUACCCUGUUACAUUGUAGAAUGCUUGUUAUUCCUUUGUAUUCUCAAUGUACAAGGUAUUAAGAAUUGGAG